CUCACUGAUCAAUGAAUGCAAA
Molecule: microRNA, 22 nt
Filed under: Lepisosteus oculatus (spotted gar)
Lineage: Eukaryota; Metazoa; Chordata; Actinopteri; Semionotiformes; Lepisosteidae
Also listed under: 20 other names
Description: Loc-Mir-181-P2b_3p* (star (passenger))
Source: RNAcentral